Helianthus annuus (common sunflower) is the source of this 385-nucleotide long non-coding RNA. RefSeq lists it as uncharacterized. The transcript has 3 exons. NCBI's taxonomy places the organism in Eukaryota, Viridiplantae, Streptophyta, Magnoliopsida, Asterales, Asteraceae. The record is from RefSeq and is a predicted model, not a curated record.
CACAAAAUUCAUUAAUUGAAGGUUCGAAUCAAGUCCAAAUUGAAAUCUGAACAUAGAUUUGUGAUCACCGUGACUAAGGGAUCGUAAGGCAACACGAGUGAGGCGUCGGGAAGUCAAGCCGGUGCGGACGCUCGUUUAAAGGGAAAGCUUUGAGCUUUCAAGUAAGUCAACCAAGCGGAUGGUGAUCAACGCAAGGCUUAUGAACCGAACACAUUCAAGAAGUAGUUCCGAAAAUUUUGUCUUAGAUGAUCAUUAGUAAUAAUUUUGUAAUAGAAGGAAUACUUAUGUAUCCUUUUAGUGUUGUGGUGGUUUUAAAACACUUAUGUGCUAAACUAGGAUUAAUAUUAAUGUUUGUGCUUUUAAUGAUUAUGAACUUUCUUAUUUA